Eubalaena glacialis (North Atlantic right whale) is the source of this 658-nucleotide long non-coding RNA. RefSeq lists it as uncharacterized. The transcript has 4 exons. Lineage: Eukaryota; Metazoa; Chordata; Mammalia; Artiodactyla; Balaenidae. The record is from RefSeq and is a predicted model, not a curated record.
UAUUAAUUUUUCCCUCCUGGAGCCUGUGCGUGUUUUAUGUUUUAAUAACUUUAUCAACUCAGUGAACUUGCGCGAGAGCACCGGCAGCUUCUCUCGCCCCCUCCUUUUCCCCCCUGUCUCUAACUGGCCUCUGGGUCACUUCCAAAAGGGGCUUCCUUCCAAUUCUCCUGGUUAUGGCUUCACCGUUGGCUGGCGUGGUCAGUACGGCAGGCAAAAUUAACCCAACUUACAGAUACCCUGCACAUUUUGCAAGUUCUCUUUAUGAUGACCUGCAUUGGUACCUGUUUUCGCUAACUGGAAGAAAUGUGAAGAGGAUUUUCGCAGUUAGGAAGAAAGUGGCUGAUCUGCCUUCACUCCACUAGAAUGAAAGCUCUGUGAAGGGAGGAACUUUCUGUAGUUGGCUCACUUCUGAACCCCCGGCGCCAGCAGAAUCCCUGGAACCAAGGGGGAGCCCCAUCAUAUUUGUUGAGCUAAUGAGUGACUUUUCCCUCAAACCUGAGCGAGGUGGGAACGCUAGAGGCACCUGGGAGAAGGUGGGCAAGAGCUCCAGGAGGCAGUUGGAUGCACGUGUACCUGUGGGGAAUGUCCUUCUGCUGGCAUGUGCUGUUGUCACACAAAGAGGCUGCAGUCUGCUCCCCAGGAAUCCUUUGGGGAUUUG